GCCCGAGUAGCUCAGUUGGUCAGAGCGAACGGCUGUUAAAAAUCGCAAAUUUAAAAGGCGGAAACCGUUAGGUCGCUGGUUCGAGUCCAGUCUCGGGCG
Molecule: transfer RNA, 99 nt
Filed under: Patescibacteria group bacterium
Lineage: Bacteria
Description: tRNA-OTHER
Rfam family: tRNA
About the family: Transfer RNA (tRNA) molecules are approximately 80 nucleotides in length. Their secondary structure includes four short double-helical elements and three loops (D, anti-codon, and T loops). Further hydrogen bonds mediate the characteristic L-shaped molecular structure. tRNAs have two regions of fundamental functional importance: the anti-codon, which is responsible for specific mRNA codon recognition, and the 3' end, to which the tRNAs corresponding amino acid is attached (by aminoacyl-tRNA synthetases). tRNAs cope with the degeneracy of the genetic code in two manners: having more than one tRNA (with a specific anti-codon) for a particular amino acid; and 'wobble' base-pairing, i.e. permitting non-standard base-pairing at the 3rd anti-codon position.
Source: RNAcentral